GAUGAAGAACGUAGCGAAAUGCGAUAAGUAGUGUGAAUUGCAGAAUUCAGUGAAUCAUCGAAUCUUUGAACGCACAUUGCGCCCGCCAGUAUUCUGGCGGGCAUGCCUGUUCGAGCGUCAUUUCAACCCUCAAGACCCCUUCGGGGGACUUGGUGUUGGGGACCGGCACAGGGGCCUGCCUGCUUGUCUUGCAGCGCCCUCGCCGCCCCCGAAAUGAAUUGGCGGCCUCGUCGCGGCCUCCCCUGCGUAGUAGCACAACCUCGCAACGGGAACGUGACGGCGGCCACUGCCGUAAAACAACCCCAAUUUUAUUAGAGUUGACCUCGAAUCAGGUAGGAAUACCCGCUGAACUUAAGCAUAUCAAUAAGCGGAGGA
This 375-nucleotide unclassified non-coding RNA is filed under the name soil metagenome. RNAcentral's name for it is "partial contains 5.8S ribosomal RNA, internal transcribed spacer 2, and large subunit ribosomal RNA". The stretch from base 1 to 120 matches the Rfam family "5.8S ribosomal RNA", at positions 35 to 154 of the family's 154-position model. The record is from RNAcentral.